Notolabrus celidotus (New Zealand spotty) is the source of this 1702-nucleotide long non-coding RNA. RefSeq lists it as uncharacterized. NCBI's taxonomy places the organism in Eukaryota, Metazoa, Chordata, Actinopteri, Labriformes, Labridae. The record is from RefSeq and is a predicted model, not a curated record. The transcript has 8 exons.
UGGAUCCACCUGACUCUUUCCUCUUCCUGCUGCCUACGUCUAGCCUGGCAUGGCCAGAGAGAUUGCAAAUACACCUCAGUGUGGAAACAGUGCAAUGUCUAUGUCAAGGGGGCGUUAUCAACAGGCACAGACCAAAAUGCUUACAACCAAUCAGAGCAAAGAAACGUGACCUGUCACUCAAGGAGCUGUCACUGAGCGUGGUGGUGAGAAACAUGGCUGCCUGGUCACAAACGAUCUCAAAUUACAGCUAAACAGUACACUAAAAUGUGAUUCUGAAAACAUUUGAUGCGAGAAAUAGGCAAUGCAGUAACGGAAUCUUGAUUCAUAUAUGAUCAGCACUGCCUAGUUUUACAGUUUGAUCCGAGUUUCGGGAGCUGGAUGUGUUGCACUGGAGACAACUGCAGACUAACAGCACCUACAACCAAUCAGAGCAGAGAAACGUGUCUAGAACGGUGACUGUGAUUGGCUCGUCUGUUUCUGGAAAAGAUAUCUCCGAGUAGAGGAGACUGUGUACGUCCAAGGAGGAGACGCACCGCAUCUGCUGCAGAUUUCACCUGAGACAGACCCUCAGCUGAGACCCAAUGGUGGCAUUCAACAGGGGACUCCAGACAAGGAAGGCCAAGGCCAGGCCAGCUCUACGGCAGAGGAUGCAAUGGGGAAGAUUUCACCUGAGACAGACCCUCAGCUGAGACCCAAUGGUGGCAUUCAACAGGAUUGGAGACAGCUAGCUGUCCUGUUGAGGAACCUCCAGGCAGCUCAGACGGAUUGGAGACAGCUAGCUGUCCUGUCGAGGAACCUCCAGGCAGCUCAGACGCAAUCAGCAAAAAGACUGUUGGGAAGUCCAAAGUGCCCAAAAGAAGAGACGCACAGGAACCACUAGAGUUACUUGAAGAAGCUGCUGAAAGGGACAAUCCUCGGAGGAAACAAAAACAACAGUGGUCUCUAAAAGAGGUCUCAGCGGUGAUGAGACACUUUAAGAACCUUCCUAAAAAAGAGAGUGAAGUCCAACUCCCUUUGUGUUUGUUGUUCAAAGCCCUCUGAUGAUGGCUGCUGUGCGGCCAAACAGGGAACUGACUGUCACUGUUUUCAAAACAGAAAUAAUUAAACAUGGCUUCUUCUUUACUGAGUAUGCUGUGAUAUGUUCUCUUGUCUAUUUAAAGAUCAUACUCAAUGUAGAAAAACAGUCAUAUGACACAUAACACUAUAUAAAAAUCACUACACAUACAGGUUUGGUUAUAUUGUCUGUUACAGUAAACCAGCUCUGCAUUACAGACAUACCUCAUGUAUGGGGAUAUACUUUGUGUUUUAUAGAACAGGCAGUCCUCAUAUAUCGGGUGUGUCCUUUUAAAGCACAAUGUCUUCACUGUAGUGUGUGUGUUUUCCCGUUCCAUUAAUUCAUGUUUGACCCUUUAAUACACUUCAGUGCCGUUUUUGUGUGUUGUAUAGCCACUGUCCUCACAAAUGGUGUUAGUCCUUAUAAUAACGCUUUAUGUCAUGGGUGGGGCUUAUUAUCAAAUUAAUUAUUGUCCACAUAAUGAUGCAUAUUGUCAGGUUGUUAUAUUUCCAGUUGUGUUGUGUGUAUUCAAACUCCGAAGUGAGAUCUGUGUUGUUGGGCUCAAAAAAGAAUUUUUGAUACCACCCACAUCUCUGUGGGGCAGCUGGAAAGGGGUGCUCCCCUAAUACACCACCAGACUGGUUUGGA